RNAcentral lists this ribosomal RNA (391 nucleotides) under uncultured bacterium. Its description in RNAcentral is "bacterial SSU rRNA". It matches the Rfam family "Bacterial small subunit ribosomal RNA", at positions 30 to 418 of the family's 1533-position model. The record is from RNAcentral.
AUUGAACGCUGGCGGCAUGCCUUACACAUGCAAGUCGAACGGUAACGGGCCUUCGGGUGCCGACGAGUGGCGAACGGGUGAGUAAUGUAUCGGAACGUACCUUUCAGUGGGGGAUAACGUAGCGAAAGUUACGCUAAUACCGCAUAUUCUGUGAGCAGGAAAGCAGGGGAUCGCAAGACCUUGCGCUGAUUGAGCGGCCGAUAUCAGAUUAGCUAGUUGGUGAGGUAAAGGCUCACCAAGGCGACGAUCUGUAGCGGGUCUGAGAGGAUGAUCCGCCACACUGGAACUGAGACACGGUCCAGACUCCUACGGGAGGCAGCAGUGGGGAAUUUUGGACAAUGGGGGCGGAACCCUACGAUCCACGCCAUGCGCCGUGAGUGAAGAAAGGACC